UGAGCUGGCGGCGUGCUAAUACAUGCAGUCGAGCGAAUGGAUUGAGAGCUUGCUCUCAAGAAGUUAGCGGCGGACGGGUGAGUAACACGUGGGUAACCUGCCCAUAAGACUGGGAUAACUCCGGGAAACCGGGGCUAAUACCGGAUAAUAUUUUGAACUGCAUGGUUCGAAAUUGAAAGGCGGCUUCGGCUGUCACUUAUGGAUGGACCCGCGUCGCAUUAGCUAGUUGGUGAGGUAACGGCUCACCAAGGCAACGAUGCGUAGCCGACCUGAGAGGGUGAUCGGCCACACUGGGACUGAGACACGGCCAGACUCCUACGGGAGGCAGCAGUAGGGAAUCUUCCGCAAUGGACGAAAGUCUGACGGAGCAACGCCGCGUGAGUGAUGAAGGCUUUCGGGUCGUAAAACUCUGUUGUUAGGGAAGAACAAGUGCUAGUUGAAUAAGCUGGCACCUUGACGGUACCUAACCAGAAAGCCACGGCUAACUACGUGCCAGCAGGCCGCGGUAAUACGUAGGUGGCAAGCGUUAUCCGGAAUUAUUGGGCGUAAAGCGCGCGCAGGUGGUUUCUUAAGUCUGAUGUGAAAGCCCACGGUUCAACCGUGGAGGGUCAUUGGAAACUGGGAGACUUGAGUUGCAGAAG
Molecule: ribosomal RNA, 641 nt
Filed under: bacterium W05
Lineage: Bacteria
Description: bacterial SSU rRNA
Rfam family: Bacterial small subunit ribosomal RNA
Source: RNAcentral